RNAcentral lists this ribosomal RNA (585 nucleotides) under uncultured bacterium. RNAcentral describes it as "partial 16S ribosomal RNA". It matches the Rfam family "Bacterial small subunit ribosomal RNA", at positions 355 to 1375 of the family's 1533-position model. The record is from RNAcentral.
UGGGGAAUUUUGGACAAUGGGCGCAAGCCUGAUCCAGCCAUGCCGCGUGCGGGAAGAAGGCCUUCGGGUUGUAAACCGCUUUUGUCAGGGAAGAAAUCUUCUGAGUUAAUACCUCGGGAGGAUGACGGUACCUGAAGAAUAAGCACCGGCUAACUACGUGCCAGCAGCCGCGGUAAUACGUAGGGUGCAAGCGUUAAUCGGAAUUACUGGGCGUAAAGCGUGCGCAGGCGGUUUUGUAAGACAGAGGUGAAAUCCCCGGGCUCAACCUGGGAACUGCCUUUGUGACUGCAAGGCUUGAGUGCGGCAGAGGGGGAUGGAAUUCCGCGUGUAGCAGUGAAAUGCGUAGAUAUGCGGAGGAACACCGAUGGCGAAGGCAAUCCCCUGGGCCUGCACUGACGCCCAUGCACGAAAGCGUGGGGAGCAAACAGGAUUAGAUACCCUGGUAGUCCACGCCCUAAACGAUGUCAAACUGGUUGUUGGGAAGGUUCCUUCUCAGUAACGUAGCUAACGCGUGAAGUUGACCGCCUGGGGAGUACGGCCGCAAGGUUGAAACUCAAAGAAUUGACGGGGUCAUAGCUGUUUCCU